ACUUAAAUUGAAGAGUUUGAUCAUGGCUCAGAUUGAACGCUGGCGGCAGGCCUAACACAUGCAAGUCGAACGGUAGCAGGAAGAAGCUUGCUUCUUUGCUGACGAGUGGCGGACGGGUGAGUAAUGUCUGGGAAACUGCCCGAUGGAGGGGGAUAACUACUGGAAACGGUAGCUAAUACCGCAUAACGUCUUCGGACCAAAGAGGGG
Molecule: ribosomal RNA, 207 nt
Filed under: Pluralibacter gergoviae
Lineage: Bacteria; Pseudomonadati; Pseudomonadota; Gammaproteobacteria; Enterobacterales; Enterobacteriaceae
Description: partial 16S ribosomal RNA
Rfam family: Bacterial small subunit ribosomal RNA
Source: RNAcentral